This 515-nucleotide ribosomal RNA is filed under the name uncultured bacterium. RNAcentral describes it as "partial 16S ribosomal RNA". It matches the Rfam family "Bacterial small subunit ribosomal RNA", at positions 28 to 523 of the family's 1533-position model. The record is from RNAcentral.
GAUGAACGCUGGCGGCGUGCCUAAUACAUGCAAGUCGAGCGAAUGGAUUAAGAGCUUGCUCUUAUGAAGUUAGCGGCGGACGGGUGAGUAACACGUGGGUAACCUGCCCAUAAGACUAGGAUAACUCCGGGAAACCGGGGCUAAUACCGGAUACCAUUUUGAACCGCAUGGUUCGACAUUGAAAGGAGGCUUCGGCUCUCACUUAUGGAUGGACCCGCGUCGCAUUAGCUAGUUGGUGAGGUAACGGCUCAACAAGGCAACGAUGCGUAGCCGACCUGAGAGGGUGAUCGGCCACACUGGGACUGAGACACGGCCCAGACUCCUACGGGAGGCAGCAGUAGGGAAUCCUCCGCAAUGGACGAAAGUCUGACGGAGCAACGCCGCGUGAGUGAUGAAGGCUUUCGGGUCGUAAAACUCUGUUGUUAGGGAAGAACAAGUGCUAGUUGAAUAAGCUGGCACCUUGACGGUACCUAACCAGAAAGCCACGGCUAACUACGUGCCAGCCGCCGCGGUAA